This 250-nucleotide ribosomal RNA is filed under the name uncultured bacterium. RNAcentral describes it as "partial 16S ribosomal RNA". It matches the Rfam family "Bacterial small subunit ribosomal RNA", at positions 524 to 773 of the family's 1533-position model. The record is from RNAcentral.
UACAGAGGGUGCAAGCGUUGCUCGGAUUUACUGGGCGUAAAGCGUACGCAGACGGUGAGAAAGGUCGGAUGUGAAAGCCCCGGGCUCAACCCGGGAACUGCAUCCGAAACCAUCUCGCUCGAGUGUGGGAGAGGGAAGCGGAAUUCCUGGUGUAGAGGUGAAAUUCGUAGAUAUCAGGAGGAACACCGGCGGCGAAGGCGGCUUCCUGGCCCAUUACUGACGUUCAGGUACGAAAGCGUGGGUAGCAAAC